GACGAACGCUGGCGGCGUGCUUAAUACAUGCAAGUCGAGCGGACAGGCCCUGCGUUUGCUGGUUUCUCGUUUGCCGAGCGGGUGUGUGUCACGCGUGGAUCCUGCCCCUGUCUUUCUGAUAUCUUCUGGAAACAGCGGCUCUUAUCGGGUAUGAUCUUCUGCUGCAUGUUGGUGGUUGGUAAGUUUCGGCGGUUCUGGAUGGACUCGCUGCUUCCGAGCUUGUUGGUGUGGUAGUGGCUUACCAAGCCUGUGACGGGUAGCCUGCCUGAGAGGGGUAACGGCGACAUGGGGACUGAGAUACGGCCCAGAAGGCUACGGGAGGCAGAAGUGGGGAAUAUUGCACAAUGGGCGGAAGCGUGAUGCAGCAGCGCUGCGUGCGGGAUGAUGGCUUUCGGGUUGUGAACCGCUGUCGAAUGUAACGAAGCGUGCGUGACGGUAAUGGGUAAAAAAGCACCGGCUAACUACGUG
RNAcentral lists this ribosomal RNA (468 nucleotides) under uncultured bacterium. RNAcentral describes it as "partial 16S ribosomal RNA". It matches the Rfam family "Bacterial small subunit ribosomal RNA", at positions 28 to 507 of the family's 1533-position model. The record is from RNAcentral.